GGCCUCGUAACUCAGCUGACAGAACGUGCGCGUAUAAAGCGUAUGCGGCGUUCUUGCGUGGGUUUGAAUCCCACCGAGGCUA
RNAcentral lists this transfer RNA (82 nucleotides) under Echinostoma caproni. It matches the Rfam family "tRNA". Rfam says of the family: Transfer RNA (tRNA) molecules are approximately 80 nucleotides in length. Their secondary structure includes four short double-helical elements and three loops (D, anti-codon, and T loops). The record is from Rfam by way of RNAcentral. Lineage: Eukaryota; Metazoa; Platyhelminthes; Trematoda; Plagiorchiida; Echinostomatidae.